GGGGCAUAGCUCAGUUGGUCAGAGCGCAUGCUUCACAUGCAUGAGGUCGUAGGUUCGAGCCCUACUGUCCCC
Molecule: transfer RNA, 72 nt
Filed under: bovine gut metagenome
Rfam family: tRNA
About the family: Transfer RNA (tRNA) molecules are approximately 80 nucleotides in length. Their secondary structure includes four short double-helical elements and three loops (D, anti-codon, and T loops).
Source: RNAcentral